Molecule: ribosomal RNA, 671 nt
Filed under: uncultured archaeon
Lineage: Archaea
Description: bacterial SSU rRNA
Rfam family: Archaeal small subunit ribosomal RNA
Source: RNAcentral
CGUGGCUAACCUGCCCUUGGGACGGGGACACCCCCGGGAAACUGGGGCUAAUCCCCGAUAGGUGAAGAUUCCUGGAAUGGGUUUUUGCCGAAAAGACGUUUAGGGCAUGCUCCUAAGCGUUGCCCAAGGAUGGGGCCGCGGCCGAUCAGGUUGUUGGUGAGGUAAUGGCUCACCAAGCCUUUAACCGGUUCGGGCCGUGGGAGCGGUAGCCCGGAGAUGGGCACUGAGACAAGGGCCCAGGCCCUACGGGGCGCAGCAGUCGCGAAAACUUCGCAAUAAGCGAAAGCUUGACGGGGCCAUCCCGAGUGCCAUCUGCUGAGGAUGGCUUUUACCCAGUGUAGAUAGCUGGGAGAAUAAGGAGAGGGCAAGUCUGGUGUCAGCCGCCGCGGUAAUACCAGCUCUCCGAGUUGUGGGGACGUUUAUUGAGCCUAAAGCAUCCGUAGCCGGCUGGGCAAGUCCUCUGUUAAAUCCAGCGACAAAUCGUUGGCCUGCGGGGGAUACUGCUCGGCUAGGGGGCGGGAGAGGCCGUCGGUAUUCUUGGGGUAGGGGUGAAAUCCUAUAAUCCCAGGAGGACCACCAGUGGCGAAGGCUGUCGGCUAGAACGCGCCCGACGGUGAGGGAUGAAAGCUGGGGGAGCGAACCGGAUUAGAUACCCGGGUAGUCCCAGCUGU